RNAcentral lists this unclassified non-coding RNA (600 nucleotides) under Hevea brasiliensis (rubber tree). The record is from RNAcentral. Lineage: Eukaryota; Viridiplantae; Streptophyta; Magnoliopsida; Malpighiales; Euphorbiaceae.
AGAAAUCAAUUUAUAGUGUGGAAGGCUAUAAACUUUUAUGUCAUGCAUAAAUGCAAAUGGAAGCCUACAUGUGUAUGUGCAUGCAAAUUUAUAUUAGUGAAAUCAAAUCUAAUAGUUGAAAUAGAUCUAAUCAACAUAUUUCCAAAUUUUCCUCUUAAACUAAGCAAGUUAUUUUGGUGUAGUCCCCUAAGAAUAAUUUAGUGCAAUCAAGCACUAAACAAUAAAGGAUGAAAUAAUUAAUACCUCAUGAUCACAAAACAACUAUUAAUACAAAACCAAAUCUUAGAUGGCAUAAUCUUGAGCAAUUGGUCAUAUAAGGUGAAAGGUGUUCUAUUUAUGUUGACAUAAGUGCUUACACAACCUCAAUCCAAUUUGUAAUUGUAGUUAAUCCUUCUAAUUUUGCCAAUUACAUGCAGCAUUUUACAUUGUUAUCAAUUUAGCCAAACAUAAAAGGGCAUAUGCUAAAAUUCUCAAAUUGCAACUUAGCAUAAAAUUUAUUACAAAUUGCCAACCUGGCAUAUAUUUUAUUAAAGAAAUUCAUGUUAGCAUCAAAUGUGGUAAGUGUCAAAACUUACCAAAAGUUAUUAAUACUAUUUCUCA